Passer domesticus (house sparrow) is the source of this 2422-nucleotide long non-coding RNA. RefSeq lists it as uncharacterized. The record is from RefSeq and is a predicted model, not a curated record. Lineage: Eukaryota; Metazoa; Chordata; Aves; Passeriformes; Passeridae. The transcript has 2 exons.
ACCGAAACACAAAGUUGCAAAUAACACAUUUAUGGCUACAAAAGGUUCAAAAUACAUAAAGGGAAAUAUUUUUCCACAGCCAUGGAGCCUGUGGGGUGCAGUCAAUAUGGGGCACUGCUGUCUUUGCAGCACUGCAUGCCUUGCUUGCUCACUGAACGCCAUCCUGCAGGCUGCACACUGGCCAAGGUUUUAAUGAAUUUCAGCUCUGCUCCUCUGCAGGCUUCAUUGGUGGGCUUAGGUAUCCAGGACAUGGAUUUUACAUCGCGUAUGUUGGAUCUAGGAGCUCAUGUGGUAACACUUGGAGAGUGGUGGAUGUGGGAGUGGGGUACUCUGAGGAUGCCCUGUAAAACCAUGAAGAACAUGAACAUGAUGAAGAGGUAAAAGCCAGCUAGUAAUGCAACACUCACAGCAUGUUAGACUAUCUGCUGGGAAAAGAUCACUGCAUUAACCUGCCUGCCAAAGGUCAUCUUUGCAAUCACAAGCCCAUUGUUAGGAGUUAAUCAUGAUAACUACUGGAAAAGGGUAUCAUCAAAGAGCCUUUAAAAAGUGGACAAUUUGAUCCUAAUCAUGAAGUUUUUAUUCCUGUAUUACAUGACUUCCUGGAGCUCUGCACAUUAAGACAGCAUUGUCUGUUUUCUGAGAAAGAAGCAGUAAUCAUCAAGAGUUAAGGUAAAUGGUUUUUUUUGCCUUCACCUUUCAAAUUAAAAUUUCUGAACCAGAAGAGAUAUUUUUCUUUCUCUAACGAAAGUAGAUGUAGUCCAGGGGAUUUAUAUUUAAAUGGAAUGCUGAAUAUUAUAAGGAAUGUAAAUCAAUAACCCCCAGGAAAAUAAUUUCUUAGGAGAAUGAACAAUGAUACAAUCAUUUACAGUGGGAAAUGAAACAAAACUGUAACACACAAUAACACACGUUUUAUCACGAAAGUCAAAUAUUAGGAGGGUAACUCAGCAGUCUUUUGUAAAUGCAUCUUUUAAGCAUUUAAUAAACAAUUUGCCUGAUGGAGUGUAAUAGAAAAUGAAAUAUUGAAUAUUUUAAUAUUCAACAGGAUUUUGUUUAUUCUGGCAAAACAAACUAAACACAUGCACUUCCCAGCUGCAGUAACAAACAAAGGGUGCAUAACAUUAUCUUCAGAAAGCACUUGAGCUGAAAAUGCUUAUAAAACAAAACAGACAUUGAGAAAAUGUAACAAUAAGAUCUUAAAUACUUUCAUGUUUCUUCCUUUCCAAGGUAAGGCAUAAAAGCCAGUACAUCCCAUCUACAAUUUUUAAAUGAGCUUUAAGAAAAUCUUAUCAUGGUUCUGGAAAUAUUUUGCAGGCAAAGCAAGGCUGUUAGGGCACUUCGAGAAAUUAAAUGGGUUCCUGAUCCUGCAAACUAUUGAGCACUUCUGAGUGUAAUCACUUAAUAUUUCCCAGGCUUUGCUCAACAUCAUGCUUAAUUAAACUUUUGCUAAUAAACCUGAAGCACUCAGUUUAGCCCCAUAGCUCCAUUGACAAAACAGUUGUUCAGUCAAGCCUGCAUGUGUCUUUAUUUUUAGUUGAUGCACGCAGUGUUUGCAUUCUACUUUAUAAAUAGAAGAUAUGAAAAAAGUUUAAAUUACUUUAUAAUGUAAAUGGAACUUAUUUUGUUAAAGGAUAUGUUUUGUUUGGGUAGUUUGUUAUAUUUGAAAGAGGGAUAUUUCCCAAAAAGCUGUAUCUUUACUAUAUUCUUAUGUACUGUAUUUUAGGGUUGAAUGUUCAUAAAUUUAAACCAUUAAUGACAACUUUGUUCUUAAUGAAAAGGCAGGGUUAAGAAUAUAAAUUGUAACUGUAGCCAUAGAGGAACAACAUUUUUUUCUCUCUGUGAUGUUAUUAAGACACUUAAUAGGACAUUAUAGGACUCAUCCCUGGCAGUGCUCAAGGCUGGGUUUGAUGGGGCUCUGAGCAACCUGGUCUAGUGGAAGGUGUUCCUGCCCAUGGCAGGGGAAUGGAACUAGAUCAUCUUUAAGGUCCCUUCCCACCCAAACCAUUCCAUCAUUCUAUCACACAACCUUUCCAUACUACAUCCUUUCACUGCACCUGUCUGAUAGAUUCUUUUCUGUGGUCUACAUUCAUUUUUCUUAUAUUUUAAAAUCAUCAAAAAGAAUUUUAAAACAUAUUAACUUAUCUUCAUUUUUCUCCUUUUUUUAUAAUUAUUUGAACAUACUAUGUAUUUUCCAGGUAUGAUCUACUAAUAGGCAUCAUAUUGCAGGUUUUGCUAGGGUUUUCAUGAAAUUUUCAUGAGAUUUUCCCAGAGGACGUUUGCCUUGAGAAGGGCAGGUAAGAACAAGUCUUCCCUGAGUCAGGCUUGAGUACAAACUGAAAAGUAUUUCUGUUCAUCACAAUUCCCACUGCAAACAUAAGGGGGGAAAAUGCAGAACUUCUUUAUCAGGUAGAUGGAGAAAUUAAUU